GAUGAACGCUGGCGGCGUGCCUAAUACAUGCAAGUCGAGCGAACAGAUGAGGAGCUUGCUCCUCUCACGUUAGCGGCGGACGGGUGAGUAACACGUGGAUAACCUACCUAUAAGACUGGGAUAACUUCGGGAAACCGUAGCUAAUACCGGAUAAUAUAUUGAACCGCAUGGUUUAAUAUUGAAAGGCGGUUUUGCUGCCCCAUAAAGAUGGAUCCGGGUCUCAUUGGCUGGUUGGUAGGUUAACGGCUUACCAAGGGAACAAAGCUAGGCCGACCUGGGGGGGGGACGGGCCAAACUGGAACGAGGACAGGGCCCAGACUCCACGGGGAGGCGGCAGUAGGGAACUUUCGGAAUGGGGGGAAAGCCUGCCGGAGAAACGCGGGGUGGGGGAUGAAGGUCUUCGGAUCGUAAAACUCUGUUAUUAGGGAAGACGAAUUGUGUAAUUAACUAUGCACGUUUUGACGGUACCUAAUCAGAAAGCCACGGCUAACUACGUG
RNAcentral lists this ribosomal RNA (497 nucleotides) under uncultured bacterium. RNAcentral describes it as "partial 16S ribosomal RNA". It matches the Rfam family "Bacterial small subunit ribosomal RNA", at positions 28 to 507 of the family's 1533-position model. The record is from RNAcentral.